GAUGAAGAACGCAGCGAAAUGCGAUGAGUAAUGUGAAUUGCAGAAUUCAGUGAAUCAUCGAAUCUUUGAACGCACAUUGCGCCCCUUGGUAUUCCGAGGGGCAUGCCUGUUCGAGCGUCAUUAUAACCCCUCAAGCUCAGCUUGGUGUUGGGGCCUGCUGCACUGGCAGCCCUUAAAAUCAGUGGCGGCGCCAUCUGGCUCUAAGCGUAGUAAUUCUUCUCGCUAUGGAGUCCUGGUGGAUGCUUGCCAUCAACCCCCAAUUUUUCUAUGGUUGACCUCGGAUCAGGUAGGGAUACCCGCUGAACUUAAGCAUAUCAAUAAGCGGAGGA
This 329-nucleotide unclassified non-coding RNA is filed under the name soil metagenome. RNAcentral describes it as "partial contains 5.8S ribosomal RNA, internal transcribed spacer 2, and large subunit ribosomal RNA". The stretch from base 1 to 120 matches the Rfam family "5.8S ribosomal RNA", at positions 35 to 154 of the family's 154-position model. The record is from RNAcentral.